CCUACGGGAGGCUGCAGUGAGGAAUAUUGGUCAAUGGGCGCUAGCCUGAACCAGCCAAGUAGCGUGAAGGAUGACGGCCCUAUGGGUUGUAAACUCUUUUUAUAUGGGAAUAAAGUGCAGUAUGUAUACUGCUUUGCAUGUACCUUACGACUAAGGAUCGGCUAACUCCGUGCCAGCAGCCGCGGCAAUACGGAGGGUCCGAGCGUUAUCCGGAUGUAUUGGGUGUAAAGGGAGUGUAGGCGGGCUGAUAAGUCAGUUGUGAAAGUACGCGGCUCAACCGAAGAACUGCAGUUGAUACUGGCGUCCUUGAGUACGGGAGAGGUAGGCGGAAUGCGUGGUGUAGCGGUGAAAUGCUUAGAUAUCACGAGGAACUCCAGUUGCGAAGGCGGCCUGCUGGACUGUAACUGACGCUGAGGCUCGAAAGUGUGGGGAUCAAACAGGAUUAGAUACCCUAGUAGUC
Molecule: ribosomal RNA, 460 nt
Filed under: uncultured bacterium
Lineage: Bacteria
Description: partial 16S ribosomal RNA
Rfam family: Bacterial small subunit ribosomal RNA
Source: RNAcentral